UGGUCUCUCCCAUUUCUACUGAGCAAUUGAUUACACCUACACCUGUGACUAAUUUUGUACCUGACAUACUCUGAGGAAGGCUGGAUGGCAGAAAUGCAUCAGUGUUUUAGCGCGUUUUUAUGUUUCUAAAGUAAGCCAUUUGAAUUAAGGCUUUUUAAUAUUUUGGAAAUAGUGCCUUGGAUUCUUAUUUAUUAGAUAAAAACCCACUAAUAUUAAUUAGCAUCAUCCAAAAGUACAGGAAGAUGCACUUUGUUUUCAAGCAAUUUGAUGAUCAAAGAGGGUCCUUCAGUCCAAUAGAAAGCAGCUUCACUCCUGAAUCACCCAGAUUGUUGUCACCCAGGUUCAGAUCUCUAAGAUUUGAGGAGUUUGAGCUGAGAACGGAGGUCAGAGCUGAACAGCUUUUCUCGGCAGCAGCCUCAGAAGAACUUCUUCAGAUCGAUCAUAUUUACUCAGUGUAAACUCAUUCAGCUCUUCCUCUGAGUUCAGCAACACAAAUACCAGAGCCGACCAAUGAGAAGGAGACAAUUUGACUCCAGAGAGAAGUCUGUCAGCUCUUUUGCUGAGGUACAUUUGUACUUCUUGCACUAGAGAUUGAUCAUUCAGUUCAUUCAGACAGUGAAACAGAUUGAUGGAUUUCUCCGGAGAGGGAUUCUCCCAGAUCUUCUGCUUAAUAUAAUUGAUUAUUUUCUGAUUGCUGUGGGAGCUGCUGCUUGUCUUUAGUACACCUUGCAAGAUCGUCUGAUUGGUCUUCACCGAGAGACCCAUGAGAAAUCUGAGAAAAAGAUCCAGGUGUCCAUUCUCACUCUGUAAGGCCUUGUCCACUUCACUUUUCAGUAAAUCAGUCUGAGUUGAUUUGUGAAUCAGCUUUGUUGUUUGUUGAGAAAAGCAGAUAAGCAUGUAUAAAGCAGCCAGAAACUCCUGGAUGCUCAGAUGUACAAAGCUGAACACCUUCCCGAGGUGCAGUCCAAACUCUUCUUUGAAGAUCUGGGUGCAAACUCCUGAAUACACAGAUGCUUCUCUGACAUCAAUGCCACACUCUAUCAAGUCCUCCUCAUAGAAGAUCAGGUUUCCUUUCUCCAGUUGUUCAAAAGCCAACUUUCCCAGUGACUGGAUGGUAUUUCUGAGCUCCUUGAGAUCUAGUUCACAUUUCCCAUCAUACUUCUGAGAUUUUUGUUUCAUUUGAAAGAUCAGGAAGUGUGCGAACAUUUGAGUAAGAGUCUUUGGGAUCUCUGCAGUCUCUGCUUCACUCAGCAUUCUCUCUAGAACAGUGGCUGAAAUCCAGCAGAAGACUGGGAUGUGACACAUGAUGUACAAACUUCUUGAUGAUUUGAUAUGCAUGAUGAUUUUAUUGGCCAGACGCUGAUCAUUAAUUUUCUUCCUGAAAUACUCAUCCUUCUGAGCAUCAUUGAACCCUCGUACAUCAGUGGCCUGGUCAAUACACUCAGGAGGAAUCUUAUUGGCUGCGGCUGGUCGUGAUGUUAUCCAGAUAAGGGCAGAAGGAAGCAGAUUCCCCUUGAUGAGGUUUGUCAGCAGCACAUCCAGAGAUGCUGAUUUUGUAACAUCAAACAAACUUUGAUUGUUUGGGAAGUCCAGAGGAAGCCGACACUCAUCCAGACCAUCAAAGAUGAACAUGACUUUGUAGUCAUUGAGGUCUGUGGAUCUCAGCUCUUUGGUAUUUGUGAAGAAUUGAUGAAGAAGAUCCAUCAGACUGAGAUUCUUGUCUUUGAUCAAGUUCAGUUCUCUGAAAGGAAGUGGAAAUAUGAAGUCAACAUCCUGAUUCGCCUUUCCUUCAGUCCAAUCCAGAAUGAACUUCUGCACAGAGACUGUUUUUCCAAUUCCAGCGACUCCUUUAGUCAGCACACUUCUGAUGGGUUUGUUUUGUUCAGAUACGGUGGAGCAAGUUCUAAAAAGUAGAGGAUUGGGACUCAAUAAUUUUAUGCAACUCGCAGUAAAAAGGCAAUUGAUACCAUAAUUUGUACAUGAUAACAACAUGCAGAGUGAUGUUUUCUAAAAAAUAUUUUUGCGGCCAAGUAAAAAUUAAAAAAGUCACAUGAAUCAAAGUUCUUACUGGUCUGUAGUGUUUUAACAAGGUCUGUCUGGUUCAUCUUCCUCAGCACAUGCAGCGUGAUCUCAAGCAUUUUGUGUCCAAGUCUGUUCUGAGUCUGACCUUCAUCAUAAUCAUCAUCUUCUUUUUCAGAGCAUGCUGGGGAAUCUGGGUUUAGUAUGGCCUUGAAUCUCUUUAGCUCUUUUUUCAUCAAUGAAAUCAUUUUGUGCUCAAGUUCCUGAAAUAAAAUUUCAUUUUAGUGCUCACAUACAUAAAAUACAUAAUGCUUUAAUUUAAUUUUUAAUUUAAAAGUAUUUAAAAAAUCUUUUAUGGUCCUGUCCAUCUUUUUUAGUGUAUGAAAAGCAUGAAAAUAUGAUUAAACCUAGAUCUGUAAACAGCCUUUCCACAAUCCAUGUUGAAUAACAUUGUUGACUUCGGGAAAAAUAUCAAAAUGUUUAUUAUAUACCUUGCACUGUAUAUAUUUGUAUGAGUGUCUAUGCAUUAAACUGUCUUGAAUAUA
This is a non-coding RNA of Misgurnus anguillicaudatus (oriental weatherfish), 2564 nucleotides long. The record is from RefSeq and is a predicted model, not a curated record. NCBI's taxonomy places the organism in Eukaryota, Metazoa, Chordata, Actinopteri, Cypriniformes, Cobitidae.